Molecule: long non-coding RNA, 142 nt
Organism: Perognathus longimembris pacificus (Pacific pocket mouse)
Lineage: Eukaryota; Metazoa; Chordata; Mammalia; Rodentia; Heteromyidae
Exons: 3
Source: RefSeq, a predicted model, not a curated record
UAACCCCUCUGUAUAUCACUCUGACAAUAAAUAAAUCAAUUUAAAAAACUGAAAAUAAACAGCCACAUGGAUUUUAAAAGAGAAAUUAUUAAUGUACACAUGUAUCAUUCUUGUGGAAAGCAUACAAUAUUUUUAUCUCAAA